AAUAGGUGAAAAUGUUGAACCAAUGGUUCUCGAAGAAGCUGCUAUGAGAAGUAGUCUCAUUCAACAGAUUGUGGUUGUAGGCCAGGACCAACGACGACUAGGAGCGAUUAUAGUUCUCAACAAGGAAGAAGUGUUAUCUACAGCAAAAGAUGUGUCUGCUGUAAGAUUCUAGUUUCUCUGAUCUUAGCAACGAAACACUUACAAACAUGAUUUAUAGUGAAGUAAGAAAGUGGACCUCAGAUUGUCCCUUUCAAAUUGGACCAAUCCUCAUUGUCAAUGAACCAUUCACGAUCGAAAACGGCUUAACGUUGAAGGUUCGAAGAGACAAAGUUCCUGCUCCCUACAAGAAGCAAGUAGAGGAUCUGUUCAAGUAACUUGGGAAUUCGUAGCUCUGUUCAUUUUCAGGUAAGAAAAGCUCAUAAAUUUGGAGGCGGCACAAGCUUUGAGAUUAUUUGAUGUUUAAGAAUCUCUUUUUACCAUUUUAACUCUAUUGUAAAUAAUGUCCAUUGUAAGCUUGUUUGUCAUGUAGAUAAUCGUGACCAGACGAAGUCAAUCUCGGAUAAAUCUCGAAAAAAUAAAUAAAUGAUUAUAAUAACUCUUGAUUUUUCCCAAUAAAA
Molecule: long non-coding RNA, 617 nt
Organism: Momordica charantia (bitter melon)
Lineage: Eukaryota; Viridiplantae; Streptophyta; Magnoliopsida; Cucurbitales; Cucurbitaceae
Source: RefSeq, a predicted model, not a curated record